UACGUAGGGUGCAAGCGUUGUCCGGAAUUAUUGGGCGUAAAGAGCUCGUAGGCGGUCUGUCGCGUCUGCUGUGAAAACUCGGGUCUUAACCCCGGGCCUGCAGUGGGUACGGGCAGACUAGAGUGCGGUAGGGGAGACUGGAAUUCCUGGUGUAGCGGUGAAAUGCGCAGAUAUCAGGAGGAACACCGGUGGCGAAGGCGGGUCUCUGGGCCGUAACUGACGCUGAGGAGCGAAAGCGUGGGGAGCGAACAGG
Molecule: ribosomal RNA, 253 nt
Filed under: uncultured bacterium
Lineage: Bacteria
Description: partial 16S ribosomal RNA
Rfam family: Bacterial small subunit ribosomal RNA
Source: RNAcentral